GAUGAACGCUGGCGGCGUGCCUAAUACAUGCAAGUCGAGCGAACGGACGAGAAGCUUGCUUUUCUGAUGUUAGCGGCGGACGGGUGAGUAACACGUGGAUAACCUACCUAUAAGACUGGGAUAACUUCGGGAAACCGGAGCUAAUACCGGAUAAUAUUUUGAACCGCAUGGUUCAAAAGUGAAAGACGGUCUUGCUGUCACUUAUAGAUGGAUCCGCGCUGCAUUAGCUAGUUGGUAAGGUAACGGCUUACCAAGGCAACGAUGCAUAGCCGACCUGGGGGGGUGAUCGGCCACACUGGAACUGAGACACGGUCCAGACUCCUACGGGAGGCAGCAGUAGGGAACCUUCCGCAAUGGGCGAAAGCCUGACGGAGCAACGCCGCGUGAGUGAUGAAGGUCUUCGGAUCGUAAAACUCUGUUAUUAGGGAAGAACAUAUGUGUAAGUAACUGAGCACAUCUUGACGGUACCUAAUCAGAAAGCCACGGCUAACUACGUG
Molecule: ribosomal RNA, 497 nt
Filed under: uncultured bacterium
Lineage: Bacteria
Description: partial 16S ribosomal RNA
Rfam family: Bacterial small subunit ribosomal RNA
Source: RNAcentral